Molecule: non-coding RNA, 75 nt
Organism: Desmophyllum pertusum
Lineage: Eukaryota; Metazoa; Cnidaria; Anthozoa; Scleractinia; Caryophylliidae
Source: the annotation of a GenBank genome assembly
UCUCCUGCAGCUCAGUGGUAGAGCGUCCUACCAGUGUGCGGAAGGUCAUACUAGGUUCUACUCCUGUUGGGGGAA